AUACGGAGGGUCCGAGCGUUAAUCGGAAUUACUGGGCGUAAAGCGCGCGUAGGUGGAUGUAUAAGUCAGAUGUGAAAGCCCUGGGCUCAACCUAGGAACUGCAUUUGAAACUGUACGUCUAGAGUAUGGUAGAGGUGAGUGGAAUUUCAGGUGUAGCGGUGAAAUACGUAGAGAUCUGAAGGAACAUCAGUGGCGAAGGCGACUCACUGGGCCAUUACUGACACUGAGGUGCGAAAGCGUGGGUAGCAAACAGGAUUAGAAACCCUGUAGUCC
This 273-nucleotide ribosomal RNA is filed under the name uncultured bacterium. RNAcentral's name for it is "partial 16S ribosomal RNA". It matches the Rfam family "Bacterial small subunit ribosomal RNA", at positions 523 to 796 of the family's 1533-position model. The record is from RNAcentral.